GUGGGGAAUAUUGGACAAUGGGGGGAACCCUGAUCCAGCCAUGCCGCGUGUGUGAAGAAGGCCUUUUGGUUGUAAAGCACUUUAAGUGGGGAGGAGGCUUACCUGGUUAAUACCUAGGCUAAGUGGACGUUACCCACAGAAUAAGCACCGGCUAACUCUGUGCCAGCAGCCGCGGUAAUACAGAGGGUGCGAGCGUUAAUCGGAUUUACUGGGCGUAAAGCGCGCGUAGGUGGCCAAUUAAGUCAAAUGUGAAAUCCCCGAGCUUAACUUGGGAAUUGCAUUCGAUACCGGUUGGCUAGAGUAUGGGAGAGGAUGGUAGAAUUCCAGGUGUAGCGGUGAAAUGCGUAGAGAUCUGGAGGAAUACCGAUGGCGAAGGCAGCCAUCUGGCCUAAUACUGACACUGAGGUGCGAAAGCAUGGGGAGCAAACAGGAUUAGAUACCCCGGUAGUCC
Molecule: ribosomal RNA, 451 nt
Filed under: uncultured bacterium
Lineage: Bacteria
Description: partial 16S ribosomal RNA
Rfam family: Bacterial small subunit ribosomal RNA
Source: RNAcentral